AUCAUUUCUUUUAUUAUAUGCUAAAUCUACGUGAAAACUAACCUUUUUACUACAAUGCAUGGCAUGCAGAUCAUGUAUUACCUUCGCGAAAACAAAAUGAUACAUUUCUAUUUCAAGGAGACUCAAUCCAUGUGAAAUUACGAGAGCAGAAGUAUAAUCUCUUUUAUGUUCAAGGAAACAUUUCUUUUGAAUCGUUCAUCGAAAUCAAGAGAGAGGAUGAGAAUAAUUAUAAUCACAUGGACAGACAUUCUUGUUAUUCAAGCCCUGCCUCUGUUAUUGAAGAACCCAUUAUCCAUUCCCCGUUCGGAGAGUCUAUCAGGUAAACGCAAUGCUUACGCACCUGUCCUUUAUAAGACGUAUUCCUCAUAGAGGUCUGAACAUACUCCAUUACAACUCGCAUAUCGUCUACAACAAACCGAUUAACUCUUCCGCUCUCUACCGCCGCCUCACUUUUCCUUAUCAAUUAACUUCGAGUGCCCCUCUGCGUAUUUUGCCCAGUAUAAAAUAGGUAAUGGUAUGGUUGCAAUGUACCCGAAAGUUAACUUUCUCACGAAAUCGCCCCUGUCACAUGACAAGACCUACAGACCCUAUUGCUCUUCAUAGUCUUCAUACUCAUCGGCGUAGGAAAAGACGAAACUGUGAUGAAACACAAGGAAAUUCUGAUCUUCAAAUGCAAAAUAUUAAUCGUCCAUCCGGAGAUGUACUCAUACUUUUGCUAUGGUAACUGUAUUUACAACAAAUACAGACUAUGAAAAUGCGGAAAUUCUCAUGAUUAGGUCAUUCAGAAUUCUAAAUCACCAGGAAGGGGGAAGUAACCCCACAAAGUCUAAAGAUCUACAUCAUUUAGUGAAUUUGAAAAUACAUUUCGGAAAAAUUUGAUGUGAAAAACGCAGAAACAGACAUUGACCCUAAAAAAAAACAUUCCCGUCAACGGGUGUUCCAGAUCAUCUAAAUUAUACAUUGGAAUCAAGAGAGAGGAGGGAUACCUAUAGUCACAUGGACAGGCAUUCUUGCUCUUCAAGCCCUGCCACUGUUAGUAAAGAAUCCAUUAUCUAUUCUCCUGUCAGCAUUGCUCUCUACUGUGUGGUUGGAGUCCUCACAGUAUUCGUACUCAUCAACGUAGGGAUCGAUUUGUAUCUCAGGAAAAGACGAAACCGUGAGGAAACACAAGACAGAGAUAUCGUUGAGAGAGAUUUUGAUCCUGAAAUGCAAAUAGAAUCAAUUGAAGAUCGAAUCAACCAUCCUACAUUCGUUGAAGAUUCUGAAAAUGUUGUUAUGUCGAAUGAUCUCCCAGCAAACACGGACUAUACAAAAUGUCCAGAUAGCCCAAAAUAAAUAAUGAACUGAAAAA
Molecule: long non-coding RNA, 1351 nt
Organism: Ostrea edulis (European flat oyster)
Lineage: Eukaryota; Metazoa; Mollusca; Bivalvia; Ostreida; Ostreidae
Exons: 2
Source: RefSeq, a predicted model, not a curated record